RNAcentral lists this ribosomal RNA (250 nucleotides) under uncultured bacterium. Its description in RNAcentral is "partial 16S ribosomal RNA". It matches the Rfam family "Bacterial small subunit ribosomal RNA", at positions 525 to 775 of the family's 1533-position model. The record is from RNAcentral.
ACGUAGGUGGCGAGCGUUAUCCGGAAUUAUUGGGCGUAAAGAGGGAGCAGGCGGCACUAAGGGUCUGUGGUGAAAGAUCGAAGCUUAACUUCGGUAAGCCAUGGAAACCGUAGAGCUAGAGUGUGUGAGAGGAUCGUGGAAUUCCAUGUGUAGCGGUGAAAUGCGUAGAUAUAUGGAGGAACACCAGUGGCGAAGGCGACGAUCUGGUGCAUAACUGACGCUCAGUCCCGAAAGCGUGGGGAGCAAAUAG